Molecule: long non-coding RNA, 338 nt
Filed under: Salvia miltiorrhiza (redroot sage)
Lineage: Eukaryota; Viridiplantae; Streptophyta; Magnoliopsida; Lamiales; Lamiaceae
Description: long non-coding RNA (SMIL_LNC011513)
Source: RNAcentral
GACAAGUUUGCUAACCAUUCUUGAGUCAUUUCUUUUCUUUUGGCCUCCCACCAAAAUCUGUAGAUCUAGUCAUCUGGAACGCAACACAUGAAGUCGUUCUUGUGCGGUACAAAGAAAAUCAAAGGUUUUCUUUAUCGUCUUAAUCUAGAGUUUACCCUCAACUGGAUUCUUGGUUUCAUAGCUAUAACAAGCUUUACUCGAGAAAAAGUUCAUCCAUCUUUCGUAAUGGUUCAUUUUUGUCCCCAUCUCGUUUCUAGCUUCUCAUCUACCAGACAUUCUAUUUUUAAAAAAAAAACGAUCAUCAAUACAUUCCUUUUCUCAUAUCACAUGCGUAACAC